GUGCCGCGUAGAGGUCCUUGUGAGUUAAGCAAUACAGGAAACUCUGCCUUAACCCUGAAGAUGUCUGGGCCACUGUUGAUAUCACGAAGAAUAUUACAUUGCCUCAUUGCAUCAAUAAUAUUAUGAAGAUCUGACAGGAAAAGUAAGAGGGGCCCACCUCUGCAAUAGGCCUGUUUCCCUUCAGAAAAACAUGCCUGCAGCAAUCCUGGAGAGGCUGUCCUCUGAAUGUUUGUGAAGAAGUCAGUCGAGCGGUACCAAAGGUGGGCAGUUGUGCAGAUGUCCCCUCAGAGGAGCCCUGGCCAGUCAGCGGAGGGCCUCCGGCUCUCAGGCCUUCAGGACUUGCCUCGGUCGUGCAAAGCUGUUCCACUCCAGGUCACACCCCUUGCAGGGACGCUCACCCCUGGUGACUGAGUCAGUGAGGCCUGGGCAUUUUGACCUGACAUAGAGCCCUGUGGGAGCCGAAACUCCCUUUUGAAUGUCCCACCAAGUCGGCAAGAUUUUCUCAGGCCUGCAUUGUAGUUCAAGUUCUUGUGCCUGGCCCUGCUUCUUGUCUUUCCCAGA
Molecule: long non-coding RNA, 561 nt
Organism: Phacochoerus africanus (Common warthog)
Lineage: Eukaryota; Metazoa; Chordata; Mammalia; Artiodactyla; Suidae
Exons: 3
Source: RefSeq, a predicted model, not a curated record